UUACAUAUAAAUUAGGUUUGAAGCAGAGGCAGUUGCUCGAAAUCAGAGGCAUCUUGUUCGAAAAAAGAUGGAUGGUUAUUUUGGCCAACUUGUGUUCAUGCAAUGAAAACUACCUAUAAUAAUUUUCCAAUCAUUGAUUCCUGCAACAAGCUUAGACUUAAAAGAGUUAAUGUAACUGGAAGUCAUUAAAUUUUACAAUAAAGAAGUUAUGUGCAGGAUUUAAUUUCACGACUAAAGAGGAUUUCAAAGAAGAAUUAAAGUUCUAGUGGAUCAAAGAUUGAGGAAUGAUUUGGUUUUAACUGGUUUGAAUCUUAUGAACGAAGUACAUAAUAUGAUUUAAAUUGAUGAUUUAUAGUUACACCUAUUGAAAUUCUGUAUCUCAAUGAUAUCCUGGCUUAUUGAUACGAUAUCCUGUAAAUCCACUCACACACAUAAUUUUUACUCACACACGUAAAUCCUGUAAAUUCACUCACACGCAUAAAUCUUAAAAAAGAUGUUUAUAUUUUUAUGUAUAAAUUGUAAAUUUUAUAUAAAUAAAUUGUAUAUUUUUUA
Long non-coding RNA from Hydra vulgaris (swiftwater hydra), 552 nucleotides. RefSeq lists it as uncharacterized. Lineage: Eukaryota; Metazoa; Cnidaria; Hydrozoa; Anthoathecata; Hydridae. The record is from RefSeq and is a predicted model, not a curated record.